AUAGAAGGUACAUAAAUAAAUGGGUGUGGCUGUGUUCCAAUAAAACUGUAUUUACAAAAAUAGGUGGCAGACUGGAUUUGGCCUAUGGGUCAUAGUUUGCCCACUCUUGAUCUAAUCUAUAAACCAUGAUUUAUGAGAUUGUCUACUCUGGCUGUGAAGAACAGACACUAUUACUGGCUCUGGAAGACAGAGAUGAAGAAAAGAAGGAAGUGGAGGCAAUGAGGAAAGGAGGGAAGAAGGAAGGAAGGAAAUCAUGCUUGAAAGAAGUUGUGGAACAUGUCAAGUUUUUUUCCGGAUGUGGCGGAGAUUAUGCAGCUACAAUGAAGCCAGAUUAAGAUUUCAGGAAAAUGGACAGAUCUCUACAAUGUUCUCCAAAGAGAUUGUUUUGCUUGCCAAUAAAAAGAGACACCUGGGAGCACCAUACUCUCUCCUGUUCCUCUGGGUAUCAUAUUUCCUUAUGACACCUGAAACUCUGAUGCCUUCUGGGUCCAUGAAAGCAGUGAGAUGAGCACAGGAAACCACGCUGAGGAUGGUUGAGCAAAAAGGUGACAUUGAGCCACUGGAUUAACCUGCCCAGAAACAGGAUAUCUUCAGAUUUCUUGUUAAGUAAGAAAAUGUAAUUUUGUUGAUUCUAAGUUACACUUUCUUUUGUUAGUUCAACAUCUCUGAAAUCAGAACAUAUUUUGCCAUGGUAAUAUCUUACCAUCACUGUAAUAUGUAAUAUCCUUACAUAGGUGUCAUUGCCUAUGCAUGUGUCAACUUGAUUGCUAUUCUCUGUGAUAUGACUGACAACUGCAGCCCUUUGACAGUUCAGUCGACAAACCAUUGAAGAUUAUUAGGGUAAGAAAUACUGCUUUCUGUCUGAAAACUUUCCAAUGACAUCUUCUGAAAAGACAAAGAAAGUAUCAGCAUCAAAAUUUGCGUAAUAGGCCGGGCGCGGUGGCUCACGCCUGUAAUCCCAGCACUUUGGGAGGCCGAGGCGGGCGGAUCACGAGGUCAGGAGAUCGAGACCAU
Molecule: long non-coding RNA, 1014 nt
Filed under: Homo sapiens (human)
Lineage: Eukaryota; Metazoa; Chordata; Mammalia; Primates; Hominidae
Description: HSALNT0064599
Source: RNAcentral